GAAAUGCGAUAAGUAAUGUGAAUUGCAGAAUUCAGUGAAUCAUCGAAUCUUUGAACGCACCUUGCGCUCCUUGGUAUUCCUUGGAUCAUGCCUGUUUGAGUAUCAUGAAAUCUUCAAAGUAAAUCUUUUGUUAACUCAAUUGGUUUCUACUUUGGUAUUGGAGAUCUUUGCAGCUUCACACCUGCUCCUCUUUGUUCAUUAGCUGGAUCUCAGUGUUAUGCUUGGUUCCACUCGGCGUGAUAAGUUAUCUAUCGCUGAGGACACUGUAAAAGGUGGCCAAGGUAAAUGCAGAUGAACCGCUUCUAAUAGUCCAUUGACUUGGACAAUACUUUUAUGAUCUGAUCUCAAAUCAGGUAGGACUACCCGCUGAACUUAAGC
This 378-nucleotide unclassified non-coding RNA is filed under the name plant metagenome. Its description in RNAcentral is "partial contains 5.8S ribosomal RNA, internal transcribed spacer 2, and large subunit ribosomal RNA". The stretch from base 1 to 105 matches the Rfam family "5.8S ribosomal RNA", at positions 50 to 154 of the family's 154-position model. The record is from RNAcentral.